CGUAGGCGGAUUGGAAAGUUGGGGGUGAAAUCCCGGGGCUCAACCCCGGAACGGCCUCCAAAACUCCCAGUCUUGAGUUCGAGAGAGGUGAGUGGAAUUCCGAGUGUAGAGGUGAAAUUCGUAGAUAUUCGGAGGAACACCAGUGGCGAAGGCGGCUCACUGGCUCGAUACUGACGCUGAGGUGCGAAAGUGUGGGGAGCAAACA
Molecule: ribosomal RNA, 205 nt
Filed under: uncultured bacterium
Lineage: Bacteria
Description: partial 16S ribosomal RNA
Rfam family: Bacterial small subunit ribosomal RNA
Source: RNAcentral